GCUGGGACAGACCCUGAGUGUUCGAGGAGAAGUUACUGAUGAGAAUGUAUUCUCUGUGGCUUUGGCCCAAGCAGUGGGGCAGUGGCCAGGGGCCAAGCUGUUGGACCAUGUCUGUGUGGAGAGCCACAUUCUGGACUCCUAUGAGGGAUCCGCCCCACACUACGAAGUGUUUGUGGAGCUGAGGGGCUUGAGGAAUCUGUCGGAGGAAAAUCGAGACAAGCCCUUCUCAUGUGCUUGGCCAAGGUACAGCAAGGGCUGAAAGUAUAGGCAGUGCUCCGGGAGCAGAUGAAGAAACCACAGCCUCGUUGUCUCGUGGUCUAGGCUGUGUCUUGCAAAACCUCCCGAAAGGCUGAGGCUAUGGCCCACAGUCGUCCAGUGUUUAAUACUCUUCCUACCAGCUCUCCUCCCAUCCCUCCAUCCUCUCUCCCUUGCCCACUCUAUCACUCUGUUCCCUGGAUCAAGUCCCAAAUAAAUUUUUUUAAAAAUU
Molecule: long non-coding RNA, 487 nt
Filed under: Rattus norvegicus (Norway rat)
Lineage: Eukaryota; Metazoa; Chordata; Mammalia; Rodentia; Muridae
Description: long non-coding RNA NONRATT006027
Source: RNAcentral